GAUGAACGCUGGCGGCGUGCUUAACACAUGCAAGUCGAACGAUAAAGCCCAGCUUGCUGGGUGGAUUAGUGGCGAACGGGUGAGUAACACGUGAGUAACCUGCCCUUGACUCUGGGAUAAGCCCGGGAAACUGGGUCUAAUACCGGAUAGGAGCGCCUGUCGCAUGACGGGUGUUGGAAAGAUUUUUCGGUCAUGGAUGGACUCGCGGCCUAUCAGCUUGUUGGUGAGGUAAUGGCUCACCAAGGCGACGACGGGUAGCCGGCCUGAGAGGGUGACCGGCCACACUGGGACUGAGACACGGCCCAGACUCCUACGGGAGGCAGCAGUGGGGAAUAUUGCACAAUGGGCGGAAGCCUGAUGCAGCGACGCCGCGUGAGGGAUGACGGCCUUCGGGUUGUAAACCUCUUUCAGUAGGGAAGAAGCGAAAGUGACGUACCUGCAG
This 442-nucleotide ribosomal RNA is filed under the name Micrococcus sp. oral taxon F54. Its description in RNAcentral is "bacterial SSU rRNA". It matches the Rfam family "Bacterial small subunit ribosomal RNA", at positions 28 to 484 of the family's 1533-position model. Lineage: Bacteria; Bacillati; Actinomycetota; Actinomycetes; Micrococcales; Micrococcaceae. The record is from RNAcentral.